This 1630-nucleotide long non-coding RNA is filed under the name Sinocyclocheilus anshuiensis. Its description in RNAcentral is "lncRNA (ENSSANG00000033755.1)". The record is from RNAcentral. Lineage: Eukaryota; Metazoa; Chordata; Actinopteri; Cypriniformes; Cyprinidae.
CUCUACUUACCCCGCCCACUUUAAAAGCAAACUAAGGGGGAGUUUACAUUGUUUUGUUUGAGCCUCAUUCGCAAUUUUGCUCUCUUUACUCUGGGCGGCUUGUGAUGGUCACGGGAGGAAACACAAACACGUACUGAAACAUGUGGACGGAGGUGAGAGACAACAACAGCUCUGUUCACGAAGAACCACAGGACCAUAAUCUCACACAGAUAGUUUCCCCAGUGUCUUCAUGGCCCCCCUCCAACUCUGAUAGAAACGGCUCAGCAAAUACCAAUCCACCCCCUCUUGCUGAGACCGCCAUGAACAGAGAGAGUGGAAUAAUACCAGGUGCGAUUGCUGCGGCAGUGUUCAUAGGCUUUCUGUUAGCCCUCUAUGCUGCUCUUUGGAAAUGUAUGGUUACACAACCGAAAAGGAGGGAAAAAAGAGCAAGACUGAAGGCUCGUGAACACAGGUCUCUUACAUGCUGACCUCUGAACGGGACGUCCGCCUGUCUACCAGAGAUUCUGAGUUACUGAUGUUAAGUCAGAGCUUCUCCUGCUGUGAAGCACCCUCAUGAACCGUGUUUAGGUCUUAACGCACAGUUUGAGACAAUAUUUCAUGCAGGAGGGAACUAGAUGCUUCAGUUCUGCAUGGUCAUCAACAGAUCAAUAUCUGCUGUGUUUCAUAAGUCACCAAUCAGGUUCUGGAUUGGUCUGUUUGACAGAGCAGUGCAUGUUAUUCAGUCAGACCAGAGAGUUACAUUUUAGAAAAUGGUUUUAAAAAUGUAAAUUUAGUCAUUAAACUAAAUGAUUUUGUGUAUAUUAUGUGUAUACAUAGGGAAUAGCAAGCCCAAAUGUGCUCUUGAAGCGUGUACGAAUAUUUUACUUUGUCACAACAAAACAAAUGUCCACUAGAUGGCAGAUGGCUCAAUAUUUUUUAUUUUUUUUUUUUAUUUUUUUUUUUUUAACUUGAUGAAACAAGAAUCAGCCAAGAUAUACAUACAGUCUUUCAGUCUUUAGAGGUUUAUCUUUAUAGACUUAUGUGUUUCGGACGUUUAUUUUAUUGCUGAUAGCUAUGCUAAUUAAUUAAUGAAAGAUAUAAUAAAUUUUAAGAGACUAGGCCCUUGUUUUUCUCCAAACAUCCCCUUUGACCAUCGUGAACUCUGCACCAGUGAAUGAGUGCAUGUGUGAGUGAGAGAGAUUUCCCUUAUGCAGCAGUAUUGGCCAGAGAGCAACAGAUUUCUGGGUUAAAGUCUUUGGGUACGUGCGUGUUUGUGUGUGUGUGUGUGUGUGUGUGUGUGUAUGUGUGUGUGUGAACGUAAGAAUUGCACAUCUUUAUUGCAGGUGCUUUGUUUGCUCAAUUGAUAGUGUUAUAUAUUUUAUUUCAUUAGUGUAGUGUCAUUAAUUUCAGAGCUUUCCAUUGUUAGGAUUUGAUUUUCCUUUUAUUUUGGUCCAUGCAGUGUAAUUGUGUGGCUGUAUAAAACCUGUUUUUCAUUGCACAAAUGUUUAAUAUAGAAUGUUAUGAAUGAUAUGUGCCAAUAAAUGUGAACUUUGAUUUACUGUAGGAUGAUUUUGUACAAUAACGUUAAAAGCUGUUUAGUGACAGGCUUAAAUAUUUGAAUACUUGCUAGAUAAUAUUCAUAUGAGAAGGC